RNAcentral lists this long non-coding RNA (2106 nucleotides) under Strongylocentrotus purpuratus (purple sea urchin). RNAcentral's name for it is "calponin homology domain-containing protein DDB_G0272472". The record is from RNAcentral. Lineage: Eukaryota; Metazoa; Echinodermata; Echinoidea; Camarodonta; Strongylocentrotidae.
UUCUCGCAAUAUUUGUACUGUAUGCACAAUAAAUACGAGUACGUACUACGUGGUGCACUAUCCGGGAAUUUUACGAAACUAAACACCUUUAAUGCACCAAAAUUUGAGCUUUAAUUAGAGGUAAAUUUCUAACCAUGUCGCUGAAUGGGAUGCGUGGAGAUGGGCUUAAUUGCAGCCACUGGACUGAUACAGAAACGAGACAUUUGAUAAAGAUUUGGAGAAAGCCUUUCGUACUCGCAGAAAUUCGCGAUCCAUCUUCUAAACAUAAAACCGUGUACAAACGAAUCGCAAAAAGGAUUGCUGCAGAGGGGUACCACCGCGAUGAAUGUCAGGUAAGAAAUAAAAUCCGAACAAUGAGCACGAACUUUAAGAAGCUUAUGAAAAUGAAGGACAGAACCAACUGGACGGGACAGGGAAAACAAACUUUUCUGUAUUUCAAUGAACUGCGUGAAUUUUUAGAUGGCUCUUUUUCAACAUGUGCCAGCGAAUCGGCAGGUGAGGCGACAGCGCUAGGUGCCGGUGGGGGACAAGGUGGGGACAGCCCGAACUCUCCAACAGCACAGACACAGCCUCUCCUGCAACUGAGCAACAUAAAAGUGGAGAACAACCAUGAGCGGGUACCUGCAACUACUGCUGCUUUCGACAGGACGAGCUGUUUGUUAAAUGAUGAAGCCUCACUCAUCAAUACAAGUGGAACACCUAAUCGUCAGUUAGACAAAUUUUCAUCCGACAAAGAAUUUGAUGACAUUGAUAGUAGUCAAGAGAUACAGGUACAUCCAGUGACCGAGGCAGGGUGGAUUUCUGAAGAAGAUGAAUUUGUUAGUGAAGAACCAAGGGCUAAACUGAGAUGCAAAGUUAAUUUACGUCAUCCAAAGCGAGAAAGGACAAGGAACACUAAGAAGGACGAGACAGUAAAAGACCUUAUGAAGACCCUCCUGGAGAACAACGCGCAGCGAGAUAAAGUAUUGAUGGAUGCAGAAGAUGCUCAUAGAAGAAUGGAGGCAGAGAGACACACUGAAGAGAUCCGACUUCUACGGGACCAGAUACAGCUAGAGCGGGAAAGAUUACAGUUUGAGCGGGAUGAGAGGGAAAGGAUGGAGCUCAUUAGGAAAGAGGAGGCGGCAAGAAGUGAAAGAUUUCGAAGGGAAGAAAUGGAAAGGACAGAAAAGGCACGUCUAGAUGAGAGAGAUCGAGAAGAGCGGCGCUUUGCAUUGAUGAUGGCUCUGACUAAGGGGACACAGAAUAACAGCAAGUAGCUCUUGUGAACAUGAGCAUCAGUCUUCUGAUCUGUUGAUCCACAAUUCCAAGUACUGUUAUCAAGAAUCAUGUUGAUGUCUCCGGAGUCUCUGAAGAUAUAUAUAUGCAGAAAGCCAGAAACAUUUGGUUGAAAUAACAAGGAUACAAUUACUUGGUUUGGAGACAGCCGAAAAAAUCAAAUAAUAUUCUCUCUUCUUGGAGCUCUUAGAUUUUUUAGAUUAAAUGUGAGAUGACAUCGCAGCUCUUCUCUUUCUUUUCAGCAGAGUCCUUUAACCUUCCAAAGCUGAAUUGAUCUCCACUCCAAUGUUUUCCCUACAUGACCCAGUUUUAUUCUCAGGAUUUCUUGGGGAAAUGUUUUCAAGGACAGUUCAACAGGAUAUUUGCAUGAAUAAUGUGCCAAAUUAAUAUUAUGCAUACAUUCACAAAAGGCCCAUAAUUUUACAAAAUUUAGUUACAGUAUUUGUUUUAUGUCUGACCAGCUGACUGGUCUCGACUUGUAAGUAUUAAAUGCAAUACAAUUUUUUACAAUUCGUUCACCUUCUCAGCCCCUUCACCUUGCCAAGUAAUACAGUUUUGAUAAUCUAUUUUGUAGCAAAAAUCACCUAGUCUGUUGGUGUGUGAAAACAAUUACCGGUACACGCAAGAUUUGAUAUUGUUUAUUAGAUUGUAUAAAAGCAAUCUACAGACUAAAUUGUUUAUUUAUUUUUAAAAAUGAGAGAAAUAAGAUCUGUGAAAAUUUGAGCAACCUCUGAUGAGAAAUGAGAAUGUUUUUAAUUUUUGAAGUUUUAAUCAAUCAAACACGAUUGGCAAAUCUGACCAAUCUUUCAAGGCUUUCGAGCUCCUCUCCUC